This is a small nucleolar RNA of Panicum virgatum (switchgrass), 107 nucleotides long. Lineage: Eukaryota; Viridiplantae; Streptophyta; Magnoliopsida; Poales; Poaceae. The record is from RefSeq and is a predicted model, not a curated record.
AUGCCGUGGUGGCGGUAUGCUGCGAUGUACUCCUGGAAUUUCUCCCAAGCUUCUGGAAUGGCUUCAUCUGGGAGCUGUUGAAAUUCAGAGAUCUUACCUCGGAGGGC